AAGCAACAAAACCAAGCCUCCAACUUCGCAGUGUAAAGUUGCUGCGUUGUGUAAUCAGUCCGCCGAAACGGAGUUUCUCGCUUUGUUUGUUUUUCUCGGCUUAUUUUUCGGCAACAACAAAAAUAUAUUUUUAAAUUGCUUUAAGCUUGCGGAGUUUUGUGGAAAAAGCUCCACGGCAACAUCAAAACUUGGCAAUUAAAUCAUCGCAGAUAAAGCGUGGCCAAUGACUUGCACUCGAAAAUGUUAAUUGAACCAUGAAGAAGCGUAUAAAUUAGAACUUUGGAAAUAUACAC
This 293-nucleotide small RNA is filed under the name Drosophila erecta. RNAcentral's name for it is "GG27177". Lineage: Eukaryota; Metazoa; Arthropoda; Insecta; Diptera; Drosophilidae. The record is from RNAcentral.